CGGCGACGGGUGAGUAACACGUGGGUAACCUACCUAUAAGACUGGGACAACUUCGGGAAACCGGAGCUAAUACCGGAUAGGAUAUCGAACCGCAUGGUUCGAUAGUGAAAGAUGGUUUUGCUAUCACUUAUAGAUGGACCCGCGCCGUAUUAGCUAGUUGGUGAGGUAACGGCUCACCAAGGCAACGAUACGUAGCCGACCUGAGAGGGUGAUCGGCCACACUGGAACUGAGACACGGUCCAGACUCCUACGGGAGGCAGCAGCA
Molecule: ribosomal RNA, 265 nt
Filed under: uncultured Staphylococcus sp.
Lineage: Bacteria; Bacillati; Bacillota; Bacilli; Caryophanales; Staphylococcaceae
Description: partial 16S ribosomal RNA
Rfam family: Bacterial small subunit ribosomal RNA
Source: RNAcentral